Molecule: long non-coding RNA, 379 nt
Filed under: Mytilus galloprovincialis (Mediterranean mussel)
Lineage: Eukaryota; Metazoa; Mollusca; Bivalvia; Mytilida; Mytilidae
Source: RNAcentral
AAUACCAAUUACUAAAAUAAGGCUUAGGCAUAGUUAUAUACUUUAAUUCAGUCACGGACCCGCGAUAUCACGGGUGUGUACUUGUAAUACUUAUGUAUGGAUGAUGUUCACCCUCCUCAGUGUUAACAUCUUUUAAAUGAAUGGAACAGCCAAUUUUAUCAUUUAAAAUGAUGAUAAAAGUAAUUGCAAUCUAUCUUUUUUAUUAUACCCCCGCUUUAAAAAAGGGGGGGUAUACUGUUUUACCUCUGUCUGUCAGUCCGUCCGUCCGUCAGUCCGUCCAUCAGUCCGUCCGUCCGUCAGUCCGUCCAUCAGUCCGUCAGUCCGUCAGUCAGUCCGUCCCAUGAAACUUUCGUCACAUUUUUCUCAGGAACUACACAUC